Vicia faba (fava bean) is the source of this 156-nucleotide non-coding RNA. The record is from the annotation of a GenBank genome assembly. Lineage: Eukaryota; Viridiplantae; Streptophyta; Magnoliopsida; Fabales; Fabaceae.
AUGGAUGAUUACCCAACCCUCUUGAAAGAGAGGGUAUUUAUAGCCUCCAGCGCUGGACCAAUGUCUCUUUAUUGGGCUGAUCAAACAGGCCCAACAAAGAGACUGUCAGGUUCUACGUGUGUAGUGAAGACCCGCACGUGGCCCCCAUCUGGAUGA